RNAcentral lists this ribosomal RNA (890 nucleotides) under uncultured bacterium. RNAcentral describes it as "bacterial SSU rRNA". It matches the Rfam family "Bacterial small subunit ribosomal RNA", at positions 505 to 1392 of the family's 1533-position model. The record is from RNAcentral.
GUGCCAGCAGCCCGCGGUAAUACGGGGGGAGCGAGCGUUAAUCGGAUUUAUUGGGCGUAAAGAGCGUGUAGGCGGCAAAGCAGGUCUGUUGUGAAAACUGGAGGCUCAACCUCCAGACGUCGACAGAAACCGCUUGGCUAGAGUCCGGAAGAGGAGAGUGGAAUUCCUGGUGUAGCGGUGAAAUGCGCAGAUAUCAGGAAGAACACCAAUGGCGAAGGCAGCUCUCUGGGACGGUACUGACGCUGAGACGCGAAAGCGUGGGGAGCGAACAGGAUUAGAUACCCUGGUAGUCCACGCCGUAAACGAUGGGUGCUAGGUGUGGGGGGUGUCGACUCCCCCCGUGCCGCAGCUAACGCAUUAAGCACCCCGCCUGGGGAGUACGGCCGCAAGGCUAAAACUCAAAGGAAUUGACGGGGACCCGCACAAGCAGCGGAGCAUGUGGUUUAAUUCGAUGCAACGCGAAGAACCUUACCAGGGCUUGACAUGCACUAGAAAACCGUAGAAAUACGGUCCUCCUUCGGGACUGGUGCACAGGUGGUGCAUGGCUGUCGUCAGCUCGUGUCGUGAGAUGUCGGGUUAAGUCCCGCAGCGAGCGCAACCCCUGUCCUAUGUUGCCAGCGAGUAAUGUCGGGGACUCAUGGGAGACUGCCGGUGACAAAUCGGAGGAAGGUGGGGAUGACGUCAAGUCAUCAUGCCCCUUAUGUCCUGGGCUACACACGUGCUACAUUGGCCGGUACAAAGGGCUGCAAACUCGCGAGAGUGAGCGAACCCCAAAAAGCCGGUCCCGGUUCGGAUUGAAGGCUGAAACUCGCCUUCAUGAAGGCGGAGUUGCUAGUAAUCGCGGAUCAGCAGCGCCGCGGUGAAUACGUACACGGGUCUUGUACACACCG